This 318-nucleotide small RNA is filed under the name Mesocricetus auratus (golden hamster). Its description in RNAcentral is "7SK RNA (ENSMAUG00000006336.1)". The record is from RNAcentral. Lineage: Eukaryota; Metazoa; Chordata; Mammalia; Rodentia; Cricetidae.
GUCUCUGAAGGAGUUCUGAUUGUAACACAGUCACCCCACUAAGUGCUAGCACUCAUUGAGCUAAUGUGGUUGCCUAGGAAGUUGUCUCCAUCCUCUCUCACUGAGAUAUGCAUCCUUCCACCCCAGCCCUCAGCUAAGAAGAAAAGUCUCUACCUCCUCUGAUAUAAGAGGACCUUUCUUCACUCAAGUGUCAACAAAUGACCACACUCCCCUGCUGGAUAUAGGAAUAUAAAUUGUACACUUGAUGUGGGUAUAGGAGACUAUUGUGGAAAGAUACUUACAAGAGAAACUGAUAACCCAGGUUAGUUUCCGCAGCUU